Molecule: unclassified non-coding RNA, 215 nt
Filed under: Hevea brasiliensis (rubber tree)
Lineage: Eukaryota; Viridiplantae; Streptophyta; Magnoliopsida; Malpighiales; Euphorbiaceae
Source: RNAcentral
GAAAUUCUGAACGGGCCGUCGUCGGAGAGUGGCAAGUCGGUGUCGGGGAAGGAGUCGGUGAAGACGGGGUCGGGGAGAGCGAAGGGGAAGUGGCUGUCAGGGACGGCGGGGUGGUAGUGAGAGCCCCAGGGCGGGGCUCCGGCGGAGGAGGUGGUGAGGGUGGCGGCGAUGUGGUGGUGCUGCUGCUGUUGCUGUUGGCGUUGCUGCUGCUGCUG